Molecule: ribosomal RNA, 503 nt
Filed under: uncultured bacterium
Lineage: Bacteria
Description: partial 16S ribosomal RNA
Rfam family: Bacterial small subunit ribosomal RNA
Source: RNAcentral
AUUGAACGCUGGCGGCAGGCUUAACACAUGCAAGUCGAGCGGGGUGAUGGUGCUUGCACUAUCACUUAGCGGCGGACGGGUGAGUAAUGCUUAGGAAUCUGCCUAUUAGUGGGGGACAACAUCUCGAAAGGGAUGCUAAUACCGCAUACGUCCUACGGGAGAAAGCAGGGGAUCACUUGUGACCUUGCGCUAAUAGAUGAGCCUAAGUCGGAUUAGCUAGUUGGUGGGGUAAAGGCCUACCAAGGCGACGAUCUGUAGCGGGCCUGAGAGGAUGAUCCGCCACACGGGGACUGAGACACGGCCCAGACUCCUACGGGAGGCAGCAGUGGGGAAUAUUGGACAAUGGGGGGAACCCUGAUCCAGCCAUGCCGCGUGUGUGAAGAAGGCCUUAUGGUUGUAAAGCACUUUAAGCGAGGAGGAGGCUCUUUUGGUUAAUACCCAAGAUGAGUGGACGUUACUCGCAGAAUAAGCACCGGCUAACUCUGUGCCAGCAGCCGCGGUAA